UACCGGUCUAAAAGUUUGAUCUCGAGAGUUUUGGACAAGUCCUGAGAGUUUUUACUCUCGGGGACCGGUCCCUGGAAGGAGAGACCGGUUCCCCCAGUGAUCAGUGUUGAGGCAGCCUGAGGCAACCGGUCCCUGGCAGGCGAGACCGGUUCCCGAGCGCGUCUUCGCAGUGAGAGACCGGUCCCGCGCAGGGAGAGACCGGUUCCCGAACACUGGGUUUUCGG
RNAcentral lists this long non-coding RNA (224 nucleotides) under Ananas comosus (pineapple). RNAcentral's name for it is "long non-coding RNA (ACOM_LNC019923)". The record is from RNAcentral. Lineage: Eukaryota; Viridiplantae; Streptophyta; Magnoliopsida; Poales; Bromeliaceae.